RNAcentral lists this ribosomal RNA (316 nucleotides) under uncultured soil bacterium. Its description in RNAcentral is "bacterial SSU rRNA". It matches the Rfam family "Bacterial small subunit ribosomal RNA", at positions 26 to 341 of the family's 1533-position model. The record is from RNAcentral.
AGAUUGAACGCUGGCGGCAGGCCUAACACAUGCAAGUCGAGCGGUAGAGAGGUGCUUGCAUCUCUUGAGAGCGGCGGACGGGUGAGUAAUGCCUAGGAAUCUGCCUAGUGGUGGGGGAUAACGUUCGGAAACGGACGCUAAUACCGCAUACGUCCUACGGGAGAAAGCGGGGGACCUUCGGGCCUCGCGCCAUUAGAUGAGCCUAGGUCGGAUUAGCUAGUUGGUGAGGUAAUGGCUCACCAAGGCGACGAUCCGUAACUGGUCUGAGAGGAUGAUCAGUCACACGUAGGAACUGAGACCACGGUCCAGACUCCGU